RNAcentral lists this ribosomal RNA (1497 nucleotides) under metagenome. RNAcentral's name for it is "bacterial LSU rRNA". It matches the Rfam family "Bacterial large subunit ribosomal RNA", at positions 1446 to 2925 of the family's 2925-position model. The record is from RNAcentral.
UCUGGUUACUGCGAUGGAGGGACGGAGAAGGCUAGGCCAGCUUGGCGUUGGUUGUCCAAGUUUAAGGUGGUAGGCUGAAAUCUUAGGUAAAUCCGGGGUUUCAAGGCCGAGAGCUGAUGACGAGUCGUCUUUUAGAUGACGAAGUGGUUGAUGCCAUGCUUCCAAGAAAAGCUUCUAAGCUUCAGGUAACCAGGAACCGUACCCCAAACCGACACAGGUGGUCGGGUAGAGAAUACCAAGGCGCUUGAGAGAACUCGGGUGAAGGAACUAGGCAAAAUGGCACCGUAACUUCGGGAGAAGGUGCGCCGGCUAGGGUGAAGGAUUUACUCCGUAAGCUCUGGCUGGUCGAAGAUACCAGGCCGCUGCGACUGUUUAUUAAAAACACAGCACUCUGCAAACACGAAAGUGGACGUAUAGGGUGUGACGCCUCCCCGGUGCCGGAAGGUUAAUUGAUGGGGUUAGCGCAAGCGAAGCUCUUGAUCGAAGCCCCGGUAAACGGCGGCCGUAACGAUAACGGUCCUAAGGUAGCGAAAUUCCUUGUCGGGUAAGUUCCGACCUGCACGAAUGGCGUAACGAUGGCGGCGCUGUCUCCACCCGAGACUCAGUGAAAUUGAAAUCGCUGUGAAGAUGCAGUGUAUCCGCGGCUAGACGGAAAGACCCCGUGAACCUUUACUGUAGCUUUGCACUGGACUUUGAGCCUGCUUGUGUAGGAUAGGUGGGAGGCUUUGAAGCGUGGACGCCAGUUCGCGUGGAGCCAUCCUUGAAAUACCACCCUGGCAUGCUUGAGGUUCUAACUCUGGUCCGUAAUCCGGAUCGAGGACAGUGUAUGGUGGGCAGUUUGACUGGGGCGGUCUCCUCCUAAAGAGUAACGGAGGAGUACGAAGGUGCGCUCAGACCGGUCGGAAAUCGGUCGCAGAGUAUAAAGGCAAAAGCGCGCUUGACUGCGAGACAGACACGUCGAGCAGGUACGAAAGUAGGUCUUAGUGAUCCGGUGGUUCUGUAUGGAAGGGCCAUCGCUCAACGGAUAAAAGGUACUCCGGGGAUAACAGGCUGAUACCGCCCAAGAGUUCAUAUCGACGGCGGUGUUUGGCACCUCGAUGUCGGCUCAUCACAUCCUGGGGCUGAAGCCGGUCCCAAGGGUAUGGCUGUUCGCCAUUUAAAGUGGUACGCGAGCUGGGUUUAGAACGUCGUGAGACAGUUCGGUCCCUAUCUGCCGUGGACGUUUGAGAUUUGAGAGGGGCUGCUCCUAGUACGAGAGGACCGGAGUGGACGAACCUCUGGUGUUCCGGUUGUCACGCCAGUGGCAUUGCCGGGUAGCUAUGUUCGGAAAAGAUAACCGCUGAAAGCAUCUAAGCGGGAAACUUGCCUCAAGAUGAGAUCUCACUGGGAACUUGAUUCCCCUGAAGGGCCGUCGAAGACUACGACGUUGAUAGGCUGGGUGUGUAAGCGUUGUGAGGCGUUGAGCUAACCAGUACUAAUUGCCCGUGAGGCUUGACU